RNAcentral lists this ribosomal RNA (766 nucleotides) under uncultured bacterium. Its description in RNAcentral is "bacterial SSU rRNA". It matches the Rfam family "Bacterial small subunit ribosomal RNA", at positions 58 to 802 of the family's 1533-position model. The record is from RNAcentral.
CAAGUCGAACGCGAAAGUUCCCUUCGGGGAGCGAGUAGAGUGGCGCACGGGUGAGUAACACGUAGGUAAUCUACCUUCGGAUUGGGAAUAACAACCGGAAACGGUUGCUAAUACCGAAUAAUGCAGCGGCACCUAAUGGUGACAGUUGUUAAAGCGGGGGAUCGCAAGACCUCGCGUCUGAAGAGGAGCCUGCGGCGGAUUAGCUAGUUGGUAAGGUAAUGGCUUACCAAGGCGAUGAUCCGUAGCCGGCCUGAGAGGGCGGUCGGCCACACUGACACUGACAUACGGGUCAGACUCCUACGGGAGGCAGCAGUCGGGAAUUUUGGGCAAUGGGCGAAAGCCUGACCCAGCAACGCCGCGUGAAGGAUGAAAUCCUUCGGGAUGUAAACUUCGCAAGAACGGGAAGAAUAAGUAAGAGCUAACAUCUCUUACGAUGACGGUACUGUUUGUAAGCUCCGGCUAACUCCGUGCCAGCAGCCGCGGUAAUACGGGGGGAGCAAGCGUUGUUCGGAUUUACUGGGCGUAAAGGGCGCGUAGGCGGCCACCGCAAGUCAGUUGUGAAAGCUCUGGGCUUAACCCAGAAAGGUCAACUGAUACUGCGGGGCUAGAGUGCAGAAGGGGCAACUGGAAUUCUCGGUGUAGCGGUGAAAUGCGUAGAUAUCGAGAGGAACACCUGCGGCGAAGGCGGGUUGCUGGGCUGACACUGACGCUGAAGUGCGAAAGCUAGGGGAGCGAACGGGAUUAGAUACCCCGGUAGUCCUAGCCU